Molecule: long non-coding RNA, 1386 nt
Filed under: Sinocyclocheilus grahami
Lineage: Eukaryota; Metazoa; Chordata; Actinopteri; Cypriniformes; Cyprinidae
Description: lncRNA (ENSSGRG00000022220.1)
Source: RNAcentral
GGACUAAACCAUGUACUUUGGCCAUUUCAAAACAUCUGCUCUGACUUCCACUGCACAAGUCCUCCUUCAUGGUUGACCUACUAAGACGACCAGAAUAAAGCAUUUAAGCAUGGGAAAUCAUCCCUGCACUCCAUCUCCAGCAACUAUAGACAGUAUUUACAGGGUUGCCCAGGACAGUGGGAUCCUCCCUGACAUCACCCUUGAUGGGACGGUGGCAAACCUCCUGUCCCUCAAUUCCAGCACUGCGCUCAACCUGCAGUAUGCAGCCGUCCAGCAAAGCUUGACCACAGACCAGCUGGCGGCUUUAGACACCAACCUCACCUCUAUUUUCGGACAGAGCACCAACGUAUCUUAUGGAGGUGUUGGAGUUAUGGCGCUCGCUUUAUCUUUCCUUUUAGACACUCUAGUGUCCAGUAUUGUCGGACAGAAGGAUGGAGCUACCACGGACCCGUUUAAGAAGCCAUUCGGAUUGGACAACUCUUCGGAAAUCGGCAGCAUUGCGAGUGAGUACCUCAGACUGGUGUCUAAGAGGGCCAAUGACAUCGAUGAAAUGGGAGAAAUAACUGAACUCUAUGACCAGAAGCUGAAAUAUGCUCUGAUCGAGCUCUAUGAGAGCGUGACUGUGGACCAUCAGCUGAACACAUAUAGCAUUAAGCAGUGGAUCAAUGGAGCAGCCAUCCACCUGCACAUGAGGAUUCAUGGGAUUCGUUUGGCAUCUGUACCUAAAGGCACGGCCGAAUCGCUGCGUUUGUCGUACCGAACAGGGUUGGCAAGGAUAAUGCAGCUCUACACGGCGUACUUGAGGCAGUACGUAAGAGAACGAUCCACCGUGCAAGGUCCUCCGUUAAAGGCGGGAUUCUUAAUCAUUGAACCCGGUAAGAAGGUCAGACACCGCGUGGUCCAUAACACCUGCCAAUCACAGGCUAUUGCCUCAGCGGUUGUGGCCCGAAUUUUAUCUGCGCAGAAUAUUGGAAGGAUAGAACGAUUUUUUGAUGAAGCUGGUCAAAUCUUAGACAGCUUGCUUCAACAGAGAGACACAUUUGAACUUCACAGACGACAGCGAAUGAAAUCCUAAUUUUGUGAUUUAUUGAGCUGUUUGUUCUAAUGCUACAUAUAUUUUGUUGUUUAAACACUAAACCACGUUUCGGAAUGGUUACAUAUCUGCCGUUUUUGUUGAGUUUAAAUAGCAUUGCCAUUUUAUGCUAACUAUGUGGCUGGAUGUAUUGGCAUUACUUAAUGAAUAAGCUUGCCGUUAAUAAAUAAAGAAGAUAAAACCAGUAUCAUGGUGGUGUUGAAUUAUAUAAUAAUUGUUACUUUUGUGUUGCUUUCGUUUAUUUGGUGCAUAAGAAAUGCAAGAAAUAUAGCCUAUUUAAUGUGCUAUUAACC